GUAUGGGUGGUUCGGUGGUAGAAUUCUUGCCUUCCAUUCAAGAGACCUGAGUUCAAUUCCUGGCCAAUGCA
Molecule: transfer RNA, 71 nt
Filed under: Loxodonta africana (African savanna elephant)
Lineage: Eukaryota; Metazoa; Chordata; Mammalia; Proboscidea; Elephantidae
Rfam family: tRNA
About the family: Transfer RNA (tRNA) molecules are approximately 80 nucleotides in length.
Source: Rfam by way of RNAcentral